RNAcentral lists this transfer RNA (71 nucleotides) under Saccoglossus kowalevskii. RNAcentral describes it as "tRNA-Cys". It matches the Rfam family "tRNA". Rfam says of the family: Transfer RNA (tRNA) molecules are approximately 80 nucleotides in length. The record is from RNAcentral. Lineage: Eukaryota; Metazoa; Hemichordata; Enteropneusta; Harrimaniidae.
GGGAAUAUACCUUAGUGGUAGAGCAUUCGACUGCAGAUCGAGAGGUCCCUGGUUCGAACCCGGGUGUCCUA